Molecule: ribosomal RNA, 465 nt
Filed under: Vreelandella stevensii
Lineage: Bacteria; Pseudomonadati; Pseudomonadota; Gammaproteobacteria; Oceanospirillales; Halomonadaceae
Description: partial 16S ribosomal RNA
Rfam family: Bacterial small subunit ribosomal RNA
Source: RNAcentral
CCUACGGGCGUCUGCAGUGGGGAAUAUUGGACAAUGGGCGAAAGCCUGAUCCCGCCAUGCCGCGUGUGUGAAGAAGGCCUUCGGGUUGUAAAGCACUUUCAGUGGGGAAGAAAGCCUUGGGGCUAAUACCCUCGAGGAAGGACAUCACCCACAGAAGAAGCACCGGCUAACUCCGUGCCAGCAGCCGCGGUAAUACGGAGGGUGCGAGCGUUAAUCGGAAUUACUGGGCGUAAAGCGCGCGUAGGCGGUCUGAUAAGCCGGUUGUGAAAGCCCCGGGCUCAACCUGGGAACGGCAUCCGGAACUGUCAGGCUAGAGUGCAGGAGAGGAAGGUAGAAUUCCCGGUGUAGCGGUGAAAUGCGUAGAGAUCGGGAGGAAUACCAGUGGCGAAGGCGGCCUUCUGGACUGACACUGACGCUGAGGUGCGAAAGCGUGGGUAGCAAACAGGAUUAGAUACCCUGGUAGUC